This 499-nucleotide ribosomal RNA is filed under the name Alloalcanivorax dieselolei. Its description in RNAcentral is "bacterial SSU rRNA". It matches the Rfam family "Bacterial small subunit ribosomal RNA", at positions 38 to 528 of the family's 1533-position model. The record is from RNAcentral. Lineage: Bacteria; Pseudomonadati; Pseudomonadota; Gammaproteobacteria; Oceanospirillales; Alcanivoracaceae.
CGGGGGGAAAGCUAACAUGGCAGUCGAGCGGAACGAUGGGAGCUUGCUCCCAGGCGUCGAGCGGCGGACGGGUGAGUAACACGUGGGAAUCUGCCCAUUAGUGGGGGAUAACUCGGGAAAACUCGAGCUAAUACCGCAUAAUCCCUACGGGGGAAAGCAGGGGAUCUUCGGACCUUGCGCUGAUGGAUGAGCCCGCGUCGGAUUAGCUUGUUGGUGGGGUAAUGGCCCACCAAGGCGACGAUCCGUAACUGGUCUGAGAGGAUGGCCAGUCACACCGGGACUGAGACACGGCCCGGACUCCUACGGGAGGCAGCAGUGGGGAAUCUUGGACAAUGGGCGCAAGCCUGAUCCAGCCAUGCCGCGUGUGUGAAGAAGGCCUUCGGGUUGUAAAGCACUUUCAGUAGGGAGGAAGGCUUUGGGCUAAUACCCUGGAGUACUUGACGUUACCUACAGAAGAAGCACCGGCUAAUUUCGUGCCAGACCGGCGCGCGUUAUAUAA